Long non-coding RNA from Mesocricetus auratus (golden hamster), 717 nucleotides. RefSeq lists it as uncharacterized. The record is from RefSeq and is a predicted model, not a curated record. The transcript is spliced from 7 exons. NCBI's taxonomy places the organism in Eukaryota, Metazoa, Chordata, Mammalia, Rodentia, Cricetidae.
GGACUGUUUUCUUUCACAUGGCACAGACUACAUGCCAGGAAACGAUGCGAAGGAGACCCUGACUGACUCAAGGCACUUUUUCCCCACAUGGAGAUCUCAUGGAAAUUGUUACAUACAACCUGCCCCUUCUAAGGCAAACAAGACUCUGCUUGCUCACACAGCCAUGACAAGAAUAAAUUCAGGUUGCUAAUGCUACUGCUCCUGGAUCAUGUUGCUGGAUCAAGCACAGAGGCUCCAGGUUCCGAUAUUUCAUAGAGCUAAGGUGUUCAGCUGGAAAUUCUGCCUGAAACUCCGCCUAGGCCCCACUCCUCAGAAAACCGCCAAAAGUCCAGGCUCCUCCCCCAAAGCUCAAGACCGCCAUCUACACGGUGUGCCUCCGCCAAGAAGCCUUCUCUAAAAAUCCCCACCUCCAGCCAUUUUCUCUGUGGUCUCCUUGUCAUGGACUUCGCUCUACGUUCAUCCGGGUCCCGAUCAACAAGAGACCGAGGGAAUUUCUGCAGACAGCGGCCAAAAGAUGAAUUGAAGUACCUGGACAGGCACCAGGGACACACCUCUAGCUAGGGGUGCCCUUCACUUCACGGUUGGCCUUUAUUUAUUUGGGUAUUUGUGGGGUACUCAGUGCUAACGAUUGCUGUGUGGAUCCUUGGUUUAUAAAAUGUAUUGUGGCCACUUUAUAAAUAUUGAUGUAAGAAAUCAAAAUGCCACACAAUGCGUUUG